ACUGAACGCUGGCGGCAGGCCUAACCCAUGCAAGUCGAGCGGAGCGGCGGACGGGUGUGUAAUGCAUGGGAAUCUGCCUGGUCGUGGGUGAUAACGUCCGGACACGGGCGUCACUACCGAAUACUGUCAGUAGCGUCUAGUGCGGAUUAGCUAGUUGGUGGGGUAAAGGCCUACCAAGGCGACGAUCCGUAACUGGUCUGAGAGGAUCAUCAGUCACACUGGGACUGAGACACGGUCCAGACUCCUACGGGAGGCAGCAGUGGGGAAUAUUGGACAAUGGGCGAAAGCCUGAUCCAGCCAUGCCGCGUGUGUGGAGAAGGUCUUCGGAUUGUAAAGCACUUUAAGUUGGGAGGCGUUACCAACAGAAUAAGCACCGGCUAACUUCGUGCCAGCAGCCGCGGUAAUUC
This 407-nucleotide ribosomal RNA is filed under the name uncultured bacterium. Its description in RNAcentral is "partial 16S ribosomal RNA". It matches the Rfam family "Bacterial small subunit ribosomal RNA", at positions 30 to 526 of the family's 1533-position model. The record is from RNAcentral.